Oncorhynchus keta (chum salmon) is the source of this 1420-nucleotide long non-coding RNA. RefSeq lists it as uncharacterized. The transcript is spliced from 3 exons. The record is from RefSeq and is a predicted model, not a curated record. Lineage: Eukaryota; Metazoa; Chordata; Actinopteri; Salmoniformes; Salmonidae.
CUGUUCUAUCAAGCAAUGGCUGUGUUCCAAGCGGCUCCCUAUUCUUUUACCAAAUAGGUGCUAUCUUCUGUAUACCACCCCUACCUGAUCACAACACAACUGAUUGGCUCAAACGCACCAAGAGAACAAGGCACACCUGUUAAUUGAAAUGCAUUCCAGGUGACUACCUCAUGAAGCUGGUUGAGAGAAUGCCAAGAGUGUGCAAAACUGUCAUCAAAGCAGAGGGUGCCUACUUUGAAGAAUCUCAGUAACAUUUUUGAUUUAACACUUUAACAGACAUCUGGUUAUAUAUCCACUGACCAGGUGAAACCAACAGCCAUCUGGUUAUAUAUCCACUGACCAGGUGGAACCAACAGCCAUCUGGUUAUAUAUCCACUGACCAGGUGGAACCAACAGCCAUCUGGUUAUAUAUCCACUGACCAGGUGGAACCAACAGCCAUCUGGUUAUAUAUCCACUGACCAGGUGGAACCAACAGCCAUCUGGUUAUAUAUCCACUGACCAGGUGGAACCAACAGCCAUCUGGUUAUAUAUCCACUGACCAGGUGGAACCAACAGCCAUCUGGUUAUAUAUCCACUGACCAGGUGGAACCAACAGCCAUCUGGUUAUAUAUCCACUGACCAGGUGGAACCAACAGCCAUCUGGUUAUAUAUCCACUGACCAGGUGGAACCAACAGCCAUCUGGUUAUAUAUCCACUGACCAGGUGGAACCAACAGCCAUCUGGUUAUAUAUCCACUGACCAGGUGGAACCAACAGCCAUCUGGUUAUAUAUCCACUGACCAGGUGGAACCAACAGCCAUCUGGUUAUAUAUCCACUGACCAGGUGGAACCAACAGCCAUCUGGUUAUAUAUCCACUGACCAGGUGGAACCAACAGCCAUCUGGUUAUAUAUCCACUGACCAGGUGGAACCAACAGCCAUCUGGUUAUAUAUCCACUGACCAGGUGGAACCAACAGCCAUCUGGUUAUAUAUCCACUGACCAGGUGGAACCAACAGCCAUCUGGUUAUAUAUCCACUGACCAGGUGGAACCAACAGCCAUCUGGUUAUAUAUCCACUGACCAGGUGGAACCAACAGCCAUCUGGUUAUAUAUCCACUGACCAGGUGGAACCAACAGCCAUCUGGUUAUAUAUCCACUGACCAGGUGGAACCAACAGCCAUCUGGUUAUAUAUCCACUGACCAGGUGGAACCAACAGCCAUCUGGUUAUAUAUCCACUGACCAGGUGGAACCAACAGCCAUCUGGUUAUAUAUCCACUGACCAGGUGGAACCAACAGCCAUCUGGUUAUAUAUCCACUGACCAGGUGGAACCAACAGCCAUCUGGUUAUAUAUCCACUGACCAGGUGGAACCAACAGCCAUCUGGUUAUAUAUCCACUGACCAGGUGGAACCAACAGCCAUCUGGUUAUAUAUCCACUGAC